UGCUCCACAACGGAAAAGGAGACCCAUGAGAUCAUGUUAUGUGACAUUACCUGUGGAGAUAUGAACAAACCUCUAGUCAUCUCAGACACAGAGGCUCUCAACAGACCAAGGGGAAGAUUCCAUCCGAGUAGUGUCCUGUCAUAGGUCAGUGUGCCCCUUCAUUUCCCACAAGGCUCCUGUGCUGAAGUCUGGGGCUCACUCCCUGCGGAUGAGGCCUUACUCAGAGAUGUGGCCAUUGCCAAGGUCUUGGGCUUCCAGUUUAGGUGCCUGUGGCUAACGGUGAUCUGAGGACGGGAGAAGGAAAAUUCCAGAAACAAAAAUAUGGAUACUCUUUCCACUAUGAACACGGUGAAAUCUUGUCCUCUGUACUUGGGACGGGGAUUGUCCGUUUGUACAGCUUCUAUGCCGUAUAAGCUACCACCUGUGUGUGCUCAGGACUGCCUCGGGGAUGAGACCAAUCAUCAAGACAUUGCAGUGCUUGAGCUGGGGUAGCUAACUGUGUCUGUAAUAAGCUUAGCACGUCUAAUUUAUAAAUUAAACUGUACUAUGGG
RNAcentral lists this long non-coding RNA (551 nucleotides) under Mus musculus (house mouse). RNAcentral describes it as "predicted gene, 49944". The record is from RNAcentral. Lineage: Eukaryota; Metazoa; Chordata; Mammalia; Rodentia; Muridae.